Molecule: ribosomal RNA, 273 nt
Filed under: uncultured bacterium
Lineage: Bacteria
Description: partial 16S ribosomal RNA
Rfam family: Bacterial small subunit ribosomal RNA
Source: RNAcentral
UACGGAGGGUGCAAGCGUUAUCCGGAUUCACUGGGUUUAAAGGGUGCGUAGGCGGGCAGGUAAGUCAGUGGUGAAAUCUCCGAGCUUAACUCGGAAACUGCCGUUGAUACUAUCUGUCUUGAAUACUCGGGAGGUGAGCGGAAUAUGUCAUGUAGCGGUGAAAUGCUUAGAUAUGACAUAGAACACCAAUUGCGAAGGCAGCUCACUACAGAGUCAUUGACGCUGAGGCACGAAAGCGUGGGGAUCAAACAGGAUUAGAAACCCCAGUAGUCC